This is a long non-coding RNA of Gossypium raimondii (Peruvian cotton), 1990 nucleotides long. RefSeq lists it as uncharacterized. The transcript is spliced from 5 exons. The record is from RefSeq and is a predicted model, not a curated record. NCBI's taxonomy places the organism in Eukaryota, Viridiplantae, Streptophyta, Magnoliopsida, Malvales, Malvaceae.
AGAGAGAAAAGCAGAGAAUCACCGCCACCUCUUUGUAUUGUGUAUAUCAUAUACAAAACAAAAACAAAGAAAAGCAAAGCCCAAAUUUUUUUUUCUUUCGCUCCAUAAGAAUAACCUAAUAAUCGACUCUGUUCUUUCUCAAUUCUCAUCUCCAAGGUUUCUUUUCGAACAAAGGUUUCCAUCCUAACAUUAACAGCAAUGGAAGCAUCUGUCUUGACAUUCUCAAGGAGCAGUGGAGUCCUGCCCUCACCAUAUCCAAGGCAUCAAUUGAGAUGACGAAAGGAGUAGACGAGCCAUUUGAGCCUACGAAGACCCAUGGUGGGGGCAAGAAAGUUUAAAAAUCAAGGGAUAUGUUAUCAACUUUAAACAACAGGAUUGCCAAACUCGAGGGCUUUAUGGGUGAUGUGAGAGAAACCUUUGAGGAAGUUGAGGGAUGCACCAUAGAGAAGGAAUCGAGGCAAGAUCAGCUCAAGGGGCAAGUGACAGAGGUUCUUAGUGCGAAUGUGAUUGCUAUGCUAGUGGUCCUUAAUACUAUUGUGGAUAAUACAACUGUGGGUAAGCUAACCGAGAAGGAUAUCAAUAGUGUGAGAGAUGAAGAAGGACAAGUUAAAAACGAAAAUAGUGAAAAUUGGAAACAAAAUAAUUGAAAGUGGAAGCCCAACAAUAAAUUGAUGGAGCCAGUGGAGUGCUUCUUGUGUUCUGGUCCGCAUAGGGUGCGAGAUUGCCUGUAAUGAUCCAAGUUAUCUGCAAUCAGUAAAGAAGAAGAAACAGAGCCUAUUGAGGAUGGUAUUAAGGCUUGGAUUAAUGAUAUUCAAAUAUGCAAAAGCAAAGAGAGAUCACAAGUAGAAAGGGUUGAUGUGAUCGAAGGAGGAGUGCUCUUGUUGAUAUGGGGGCAUCUGAUUUGUUUAUGUUGAAAAGAGCUGCAAGUAAACUUGGUCUCUCAGUUAGCAAAUUGACUAAGAAGCUUAAGACUGUUAAUUCCAAAGAGGUCUCAACUAUGUAAGUAGCACAAUGAGUUGAGCUACAAACCGCUUAGUGGAAAGACAAGAAAGAUUUUGAGAUUGCAUAUGUAUCUUGGAUACUCAUAAACGACAAUGCGUUGUGCCUGUGAGUUGUGAUGAGAAAGGUGGAACCAAAAUAUUCUCAACAAUCUAGCAAGCUAAGAAUGUUCAUUGUGCAAUUCCGUGCAUUAGAAGAAAUGCCGGUCUUGAAGGUCACCUUCUGGAGCUCAAAUGCUAUAGCAUCCUUGGAGCACUCAUCAUGCAAAGAGGGGCUGAUUAUUAAUCAGCUUUGGACGCCCCGAUUAAAUUAAUUUUUGGGUCAUGUGACAUACUUGACCCAACUUAGAAAUUAGGUAGAACAAUUGGACAGUCUGUUAAUGUGAAAAGAGCUCGAAUUGCCCAUUAAGAGAGAGAAACCCGAUUGUCCAUCAAGGUGCCCAAAUAAGCUAUUCAAAGCUGAUUUAAAAUAUUUAAAAACAACCAUAAAACUCUCUCCAUUUUCCAUCCAACCCAUCUCCCUUUUUCAGCUUCCUUCUCUCAUGAAUUAUGCAUGAAUCGGUUAAAAGUCUUCCACCCACUCUCCUUGAAGUAAAGGCUGACCAUUGAGAGGAGAAAUUCAAGUACUUAAAUUUUCUAAAAAUAGCCCCUCUCCUCAUGUAUCCCUAGCGGAUCACUCAUUUCAAUUAUUCAUUCACUCAUCUUCUCUUCUCCUAUCUUCCAUUUUCUACUUCCCAUUUGAGAGAAAAGCAUAGAAAGUUGAGGGAAGCAAUUCAUAGAUGUGCUGAGUAACACAAUUUUGGUAUUCCUAAAGAAAAUGUGCAAGGAAGCAAAGCAAAAAUAAAUAAAAUAAAGAAGGGAGCACGAGCAGAAAGACAUUGGAUUUGUCUUCUUGUUCUUCCUCUUUUACUUUUAUUUUGUUUUUGCCUUGAUGAAUAUGCUUGUCAAAUAUUUUUUUAUGUUUUCAACUCAAUCAUAAUGGCUUAAUUUUA